CCUACGGGGGGCAGCAGUGGGGAAUAUUGGACAAUGGGGGCAACCCUGAUCCAGCCAUGCCGCGUGUGUGAAGAAGGCCCUCGGGUUGUAAAGCACUUUCAGUGGGGAAGAACGCCUGGUGGUUAAUACCCAUCAGGAAAGACAUCACUCACAGAAGAAGCACCGGCUAACUCCGUGCCAGCAGCCGCGGUAAUACGGAGGGUGCGAGCGUUAAUCGGAAUUACUGGGCGUAAAGCGCGCGUAGGUGGCUUGAUAAGCCGGUUGUGAAAGCCCCGGGCUCAACCUGGGAACGGCAUCCGGAACUGUCAAGCUAGAGUGCAGGAGAGGAAGGUAGAAUUCCCGGUGUAGCGGUGAAAUGCGUAGAGAUCGGGAGGAAUACCAGUGGCGAAGGCGGCCUUCUGGACUGACACUGACACUGAGGUGCGAAAGCGUGGGUAGCAAACAGGAUUAGAUACCCCUGUAGUC
This 465-nucleotide ribosomal RNA is filed under the name Vreelandella stevensii. RNAcentral describes it as "partial 16S ribosomal RNA". It matches the Rfam family "Bacterial small subunit ribosomal RNA", at positions 338 to 795 of the family's 1533-position model. The record is from RNAcentral. Lineage: Bacteria; Pseudomonadati; Pseudomonadota; Gammaproteobacteria; Oceanospirillales; Halomonadaceae.